UACGGAGGAUGCAAGCGUUAUCCGGAAUUAUUGGGCGUAAAGCGUCCGUAGGUGGUUCACCAAGUCUGCUGUCAAAGGGUGGGGCUUAACCUCAUAAAGGCAGUGGAAACUGGUGAGCUAGAGUGCGGUAGGGGUAAGGGGAAUUCCCAGUGUAGCGGUGAAAUGCGUAGAGAUUGGGAAGAACAUCGGUGGCGAAAGCGCCUUACUGGGCCUGCACUGACACUGAGGGACGAAAGCUAGGGGAGCGAAAGGG
Molecule: ribosomal RNA, 253 nt
Filed under: uncultured bacterium
Lineage: Bacteria
Description: partial 16S ribosomal RNA
Rfam family: Bacterial small subunit ribosomal RNA
Source: RNAcentral